AACGUCAGAGUUCGCAAUAAAAUUAUUCUUAUCCGCAAAUAAUUGUAAUACACAUUAUAAAGUUGCAUUAAUAAACAGUUUUGUGUUAUGUAUUUAACGGUUUAAAUACGACAGAAAUUAGACAGGAAGAAUCUAUAAAAUCAUGUAAUAAGUAUCUGUUUAAUAGCACGUACACAUUUUAAUAGUACUGUUCACACAGUCAUUUUAUAAAUAACUUGCAAAUAAUAUGUGACUAAUGUCUUCCGUGAACCGGUCCGCAAGUCAUAAACUCAAGGGCAGUCUAUAAAUAAAACGAUACUUUU
This 302-nucleotide long non-coding RNA is filed under the name Mytilus galloprovincialis (Mediterranean mussel). The record is from RNAcentral. Lineage: Eukaryota; Metazoa; Mollusca; Bivalvia; Mytilida; Mytilidae.